UGCAAGAUCCGCUCGUGCUCCGGGACGGUGCCCAGACCCUCGCCAUUCUCCGCCAUCUUGGCUGGAAGCUGAGGAGCCGGUUCCAGGGAUGAGGAUGUGAACCUUUUGGGGAGCCAUUAUUUUGCCUGCCACAUACAAUAAGUGCCCUAUAAACAUUACCAUCAUACAUAAAUGCUCUCUUUUCCAUUAAUCUGAAAUUUCUGUCCUUCCCGAAAAACAACUCAAAUGUAUCUCCUUCAUAAAGAUUCCCCCAUCUAAUCACAACCUUCUCUGCUAACUCUAGAUUCAAUUUAGCACACACUUGUCCACUCCACUACCAACUGUUUUACUAGUGUGCACUUGUUUUGAGUAGUUCCUUUUCAUACAUCUGUGAGUUUUGUUUGUUUUUGUACACUUGGUCCCCAAGGAAUCAACAUGUGACUGAUCUGAGUACACACUGGCUUAGAAGAUCAAGGAAGCUCUGCUACAUCCAACUGCCCAUUCUGCCAAGAAACCCCAUCAGAAGCCUAUUUCCACUGUCUCAAUGGUACAGAAGAAUCCAGAUCUUCUCUGGGAAAUCACACUUUCUCAAGAUGUAAAAAUAUGCCAAAGGAAAAAAAAGUCUUCCUGAGGCCACCAGCACUGUCACACUAUGUUAAAGACCUGACGUUCAGAGAUGACUUUUUUUUUUUUUAAUUUUGCAAUUUUGUAUAGUUCCCCCUUGGAGUUCUGCAUGUGGCUGAGAGAAAGGGGUUUUGAAACCAGACAAUGCUGAAGAUCAGAAGCCACUGGAAAGAAUUCAGGAUGAGUUAGAAAGGAGCAUUACAAACAGUUCUGAGCAUAAGGCAAGAAUUUGAUUAAUCUGUGAUUGGUAACAAUUUGGAAUUAGAAUAAUAGCAAAUCGUAAAAAGUUUUUUCAAACAUACUGUUUAUAUACUGGCAUUAAAUACAGCAUUUUAUAUAGUUGUA
Lynx canadensis (Canada lynx) is the source of this 948-nucleotide long non-coding RNA. RefSeq lists it as uncharacterized. NCBI's taxonomy places the organism in Eukaryota, Metazoa, Chordata, Mammalia, Carnivora, Felidae. The transcript has 2 exons. The record is from RefSeq and is a predicted model, not a curated record.